This 94-nucleotide transfer RNA is filed under the name Actinoplanes philippinensis. RNAcentral describes it as "tRNA-Ala". The record is from RNAcentral. Lineage: Bacteria; Bacillati; Actinomycetota; Actinomycetes; Micromonosporales; Micromonosporaceae.
CCCGGCCGAGCGGGGCUAUUCGGCGCUGCUGCGCCGGCACCGUGGCGGUGCGGCAUGAGCCGGGUGCUGGCGGUGCAGGUCCGCCGGUUCGGCC